RNAcentral lists this ribosomal RNA (499 nucleotides) under uncultured bacterium. RNAcentral describes it as "partial 16S ribosomal RNA". It matches the Rfam family "Bacterial small subunit ribosomal RNA", at positions 899 to 1397 of the family's 1533-position model. The record is from RNAcentral.
ACUCAAAGGAAUUGACGGGGGCCCGCACAAGCGGUGGAGCAUGUGGUUUAAUUCGAUGCAACGCGAAGAACCUUACCUACCCUUGACAUCCUCGGAACUUGUCAGAGAUGACUUGGUGCCUUCGGGAACCGAGAGACAGGUGCUGCAUGGCUGUCGUCAGCUCGUGUCGUGAGAUGUUGGGUUAAGUCCCGUAACGAGCGCAACCCUUAUCCUUAGUUGCCAACACGUCAUGGUGGGAACUCUAAGGAGACUGCCGGUGAUAAACCGGAGGAAGGUGAGGAUGACGUCAAGUCAUCAUGGCCUUUAUGGGUAGGGCCACACACGUGCUACAAUGGGCAGUACAAAGGGUUGCCAACCCGCGAGGGGGAGCUAAUCUCAAAAAACUGCUCGUAGUCCGGAUUGGAGUCUGAAACUCGACUCCAUGAAGUUGGAAUCGCUAGUAAUCGCGGAUCAGAACGCCGCGGUGAAUACGUUCCCGGGCCUUGUACACACCGCCCGU